RNAcentral lists this ribosomal RNA (1714 nucleotides) under Desulforhopalus sp. IMCC35007. RNAcentral's name for it is "partial 23S ribosomal RNA". It matches the Rfam family "Bacterial large subunit ribosomal RNA", at positions 1226 to 2912 of the family's 2925-position model. Lineage: Bacteria; Pseudomonadati; Thermodesulfobacteriota; Desulfobulbia; Desulfobulbales; Desulfocapsaceae. The record is from RNAcentral.
UGGUAGGAGAACAUUGUGGCCGCCUGAGAAGGUACACCGAAAGGAGUGCUGGAGGUUCCACAAGAGCUUAUGUUGACACGAGUAGCGAAAAUGAGGGUGAGAAACCCUCACGCCGAAAGCCUAAGGUUUCCUGUAGUCAAGUUAAUCUGCUCAGGGUUAGUCGGCUCCUAAGGCGAGGCCGAGAGGCGUAGUCGAUGGGAAACAGGUUAAUAUUCCUGUACCACUAUCAUAAUGUUUGAUGGUAAGGGGGGACGGAGAAGGUAAGACCAUCCGGGCGUUGGUUGUCCCGGUUUAAGCAUGUAGGUGUGAGACUUUGGCAAAUCCGGGUCUCUUUAACACUGAGGUGUGAUGACGAUGUCUUUUAGACAAUAAAGUGGUUGGUUCCAUGCUUCCAGGAAAAUCCUCGUAUCUAGUUAUGAUUGUGACCGUACCGUAAACCGACACAGGUAGGCAGGUAGAAGAUACCAAGGCGCUUGAGAGAACUCUGGUUAAGGAACUCGGCAAAAUAGCACCGUAACUUCGGGAGAAGGUGUGCCAGCAAGGUGAAAUAAUUUACUUAUGGAGCCUAGUCUGGUUGCAGUGAAAUGGGGGGAGCGACUGUUUACUAAAAACAUAGGACUCUGCGAAGUCGAAAGACGAAGUAUAGGGUCUGACGCCUGCCCGGUGCCGGAAGGUUAAGGGGACUUGUCAGCGCAAGCGAAGCAAUGAACCGAAGCCCCGGUAAACGGCGGCCGUAACUAUAACGGUCCUAAGGUAGCGAAAUUCCUUGUCGGGUAAGUUCCGACCUGCACGAAUGGCGUAACGAUUUCCCCACUGUCUCAACCAGGGACUCAGCGAAACUGUAGUACCGGUGAAGAUGCCGGUUACCCGCAACAAGACAGAAAGACCCCGUGAACCUUUACUACAGCUUGGCAUUGGUUUUUGAGGUAACAUGUGUAGGAUAGGUGGGAGACUUUGAAACGGCCACGCCAGUGGUCGUGGAGUCAACCUUGAAAUACCACCCUUGUUAUCUUAGGAAUCUAACUGCGGUCCGUGAUCCGGAUCCAGGACAUUGUCUGGUGGGUAGUUUGACUGGGGCGGUCGCCUCCCAAAGAGUAACGGAGGCGCGCGAUGGUUCCCUCAGGCUGAUUGGAAACCAGCCGUAGAGUGUAAAGGCAUAAGGGAGCUUGACUGCGAGAGAGACAUCUCGAGCAGGUACGAAAGUAGGUCUUAGUGAUCCGGCGAUUCCGCAUGGAAGGGUCGUCGCUCAACGGAUAAAAGGUACUCCGGGGAUAACAGGCUUAUCUCCCCCAAGAGUCCAUAUCGACGGGGAGGUUUGGCACCUCGAUGUCGGCUCAUCACAUCCUGGGGCUGAAGCAGGUCCCAAGGGUUUGGCUGUUCGCCAAUUAAAGUGGUACGUGAGCUGGGUUUAAAACGUCGUGAGACAGUUUGGUCCUUAUCUGUUGCGGGCGCAGGAUAUUUGAGGAGAUCUUUCCCUAGUACGAGAGGACCGGGAUGGACGAACCUAUGGUGCACCAGUUGUUCCGCCAGGGGCAUUGCUGGGUAGCUAAGUUCGGCAGGGAUAACCGCUGAAAGCAUCUAAGCGGGAAGCCCACUUCAAGAUGAGAUAUCCCAUGGCAUUAGCCAUCUGAAGGGUCGUGGUAGACCACCACGUUGAUAGGUCGGGUGUGGAAGUGUAGUAAUACAUGGAGCUUACCGAUACUAAUAACCCGUG